AGGACGAACGCUGGCGGCGUGCUUAACACAUGCAAGUCGAGCGGAAAGGCCCUUCGGGGUACUCGAGCGGCGAACGGGUGAGUAACACGUGAGUAAUCUGCCCUUAGCUCUGGGAUAGCUCCGGGAAACCGGGAUUAAUACCAGAUACGACCACUUUAGACAUCUGCCGUGGUGGAAAGAAUUUCGGCUAAGGAUGAGCUCGCGGCCUAUCAGCUUGUUGGUGGGGUAACGGCCUACCAAGGCGACGACGGGUAGCCGGCCUGAGAGGGCGACCGGCCACACUGGGACUGAGACACGGCCCAGACUCCUACGGGAGGCAGCAGUGGGGAAUAUUGCGCAAAUGGGCGAAAGCCUGACGCAGCGACGCCGCGUGGGGGAUGAAGGCCUUCGGGUUGUAAACCCCUUUCAGCAGGGACGAAGCGAAAGUGACGGUACCUGCAGAAGAAGCGCCGGCUAACUACGUGCCAGCAGCCGC
Molecule: ribosomal RNA, 475 nt
Filed under: uncultured bacterium
Lineage: Bacteria
Description: SSU rRNA
Rfam family: Bacterial small subunit ribosomal RNA
Source: RNAcentral